Molecule: transfer RNA, 80 nt
Filed under: Felis catus (domestic cat)
Lineage: Eukaryota; Metazoa; Chordata; Mammalia; Carnivora; Felidae
Rfam family: tRNA
About the family: Transfer RNA (tRNA) molecules are approximately 80 nucleotides in length. Their secondary structure includes four short double-helical elements and three loops (D, anti-codon, and T loops).
Source: Rfam by way of RNAcentral
GCCCGGGUGGCUCAGUCGGUAGAGCAUCUGACUUUGACUCAGGUCAUGAUCUCACAAUUCGUGGGUUUGAGCCCCGUGUG